GCACUAUUCUAAUACAGUUUAUGAAUUGAUUAAAGAAAAAAAGAAAGAGAAAGAAAAUUAAAAAAAAAAUCAUAUAAGAGCAUUCUUAUAGAAGUAUGAGUUAUUAUUAUUAUUAUUCUUUAAAUUAGAGUAUAUUCAAUCAAAGACUAUGACACUCACCUGAGUAUUGCUCAGGGUUUUCCCAGUACUAAUAGCUAUAAUUACAAAAACCUCUUCUUCACUUGCAAUACAGAAUUCCAGCCCAGAAUCAAUCAACAAUUAAAAGAACUCAUUAUAAUGUUCAAUUCAGACAAGCUUUUCAAAUCAACAAAUGAAAGAUAUAAAUAAUGAAUGGUACAAGGAAAUUAAAACAAAGAAGAUAUUGUGAAUAAACAAAUAAAAAUAAAAAUAAACAUAAGAAAUAAAAUAAAAAUAAAAACAAUAAACUCUAUACACAGAGUUUUUACAAUUCAGAGUGUUUAAAC
RNAcentral lists this small RNA (464 nucleotides) under Histoplasma capsulatum var. duboisii H88. RNAcentral describes it as "Histoplasma capsulatum H88 hypothetical RNA". Lineage: Eukaryota; Fungi; Ascomycota; Eurotiomycetes; Onygenales; Ajellomycetaceae. The record is from RNAcentral.